UAGAGUUUGAUCAUGGUCUCAGAUUGAACGCUGGCGGCAUGCCUUACACAUGCAAGUCGAACGGCAGCACGGGGGCAACCCUGGUGGCGAGUGGCGAACGGGUGAGUAAUAUAUCGGAACGUACCCAGUAGUGGGGGAUAACUAUCCGAAAGGAUAGCUAAUACCGCAUACGAUCUGUGGAUGAAAGCAGGGGAUCUUCGGACCUUGUGCUAUUGGAAUGGCCGAUAUCUGAUUAGCUAGUUGGUAGGGUAAAAGCCUACCAAGGCGACGAUCAGUAGCUGGUCUGAGAGGACGACCAGCCACACUGGAACUGAGACACGGUCCAGACUCCUACGGGAGGCAGCAGUGGGGAAUUUUGGACAAUGGGGGCAACCCUGAUCCAGCAAUGCCGCGUGAGUGAAGAAGGCCCUCGGGUUGUAAAGCUCUUUUGUCAGGGAAGAAACGGUGAUCUCUAAUAUAGAUUGCUAAUGACGGUACCUGAAGAAUAAGCACCGGCUAACUACGUGCCAGCCGCCGCGGUAAUUCA
Molecule: ribosomal RNA, 526 nt
Filed under: uncultured bacterium
Lineage: Bacteria
Description: bacterial SSU rRNA
Rfam family: Bacterial small subunit ribosomal RNA
Source: RNAcentral